GAUGAACGCUGGCGGCGUGCCUAAUACAUGCAAGUCGAGCGAACAGACGAGGAGCUUGCUCCUCUGACGUUAGCGGCGGACGGGUGAGUAACACGUGGAUAACCUACCUAUAAGACUGGGAUAACUUCGGGAAACCGGAGCUAAUACCGGAUAAUAUAUUGAACCGCAUGGUUCAAUAGUGAAGGACGGUUUUGCUGUCACUUAUAGAUGGAUCCGCGCCGCAUUAGCUAGUUGGUAAGGUAACGGCUUACCAAGGCAACGAUGCGUAGCCGACCUGAGAGGGUGAUCGGCCACACUGGAACUGAGACACGGUCCAGACUCCUACGGGAGGCAGCAGUAGGGAAUCUUCCGCAAUGGGCGAAAGCCUGACGGAGCAACGCCGCGUGAGUGAUGAAGGUCUUCGGAUCGUAAAACUCUGUUAUUAGGGAAGAAGAAAUGUGUAAGUAACUAUGCACGUCUUGACGGUACCUAAUCAGAAAGCCACGGCUAACUACGUG
RNAcentral lists this ribosomal RNA (497 nucleotides) under uncultured bacterium. RNAcentral describes it as "partial 16S ribosomal RNA". It matches the Rfam family "Bacterial small subunit ribosomal RNA", at positions 28 to 507 of the family's 1533-position model. The record is from RNAcentral.